Molecule: non-coding RNA, 22 nt
Filed under: Drosophila melanogaster (fruit fly)
Lineage: Eukaryota; Metazoa; Arthropoda; Insecta; Diptera; Drosophilidae
Source: RNAcentral
UGUUUUCGGGAGUGGUAUGUUG